This 345-nucleotide unclassified non-coding RNA is filed under the name fungal sp. RNAcentral describes it as "partial internal transcribed spacer region". The stretch from base 1 to 46 matches the Rfam family "Eukaryotic small subunit ribosomal RNA", at positions 1786 to 1831 of the family's 1831-position model. The record is from RNAcentral. Lineage: Eukaryota; Fungi.
AAGUCGUAACAAGGUUUCCGUAGGUGAACCUGCGGAAGGAUCAUUAACACGUUUUAUACGUAUCUUAAUCGAAAUAUCCACCCCAAACUGUGUCACGCUUGUAUGGAUCGUUCGCGAUUCUUACAUGCACACUCGGCAAUGUCCAUGUGUGUGAAAUACCAUACGUCGGUUCAUUGUCCUCAACUCACCUCUUUAUUUUUCACCCCAAUCUAUUGACUCACCCUACUACAACCCAAGUGGUCUGAUACAAACGUGUUCUUAUCUUUGGAUUUGAACCCGAACCAUAUGGAUGUCAUGCAUUCAGAAUUUGAAAUACAACUCUUAGCAAUGGAUAUCUUGGUUCUC